UAUUUUUUUGAGAAGUUCAACUUACUUCAAAUUGGAUGUGUUCUUGAGAUAAUUUGAUGGGGAUUUUGUAAAGUUCAUGUCCUCCAUAAUAUUUUCAAUCAAAUUUAGCUGCUCAACUUAAUUCACUUUCACCGAAAUAUCGUCUUCGACCAAAUCGGUAUGUGCAAUACCGACAAAACACAAUUAGAUGAAUUCAAAGCAAUUUUUGAUGGGGCUUUUGAAAUCAAACCAUUCCCAUAUCCUUUUCAACUAAUUUAUAUUGUGAAUUUUGAAUCAAAUCCAUCGAAUUAAUUUUUUCCUCUAAAUUUGGCAAUUUAGGGCUAGAAACCAUAAAUUCUAAAUUAGAACCAUUAGGAUCAGUAGAAAUUGAGGGUUUUACGAUAUUGUCAUUCCUUACCUACCCAAUAAUCAAUUGGUAUUGAUUUUGGUCGAUUUAAUUGGCAGUGGUUGGUCGUUACUCUUUCACCUCUGUUUGAGCUUGAAUUUUUGGAGAUAGAACCAAGGGUUGCAAACAAACCCCACUGGUUAUUUCACCUUAAAUCUCACCAAAAUUUGAUCGAAUUUCAUUGUGAAUCUUUGAUGAUUUUUGAUCGUAAAUGAAGAUAAAAGAAGAGUGAAAAUGGAGAAGAAGAGUGAUGAUGGAGGAGAAGGAUUUCUUUAUUUAUUUAUUUUUAAUUAAAUUUUUGGGUAAUUUCUGACUCCUUUUAUUUAUAUCUAUUAAUCAACACAAUUCUGCCCCAAAAUAUAAAAUGACCCGAUCCAAACAUGGUAUAUGAAAGGUUUCCAAAAAAGUUUCAGUACUCUUUUCUUGCCAUUUUCGCCGCUUCUCUUUAGUGUUCUUCUCAGGUAUCAACCGAAGGUUUGUGUUAUAACUGCUAUGGAUAAUUUUCCAGCUCCAUCGUGUUCCACCAUGCUCUUGCUCUCAUCUUCACCAGGUGGUUGGGCUUCAUCCCUCUGAUGUUGGAAGGUUCUGGCCAGAAAGUUCUUCUUCAACAAGUACCUCUUCCAUAUCUUCCAUGAAUAUAACUCUUAAAGGUGUUUGUGAUGAUGUCGUUGAUGAUGUCGUUUGUCUUUCCUCUCAAGUAUUGUUGUUCUACAGAUCCUGGGAAAUGUGGCCUGGCAUGAAGGAAAGCUCCAUCUACCCUUGUUUUUUGUGAUUUUUGGUUGCUAGAGCAUCCAGUUAGGAUUUUCACAGUAUAUUAGAUGUUAAAUUUACUCAAACAUUAUCUAUACCCCUGCUUUGUUCUCGUGGGACCCCUAGCUUUCUAUCUGCUUUAAUCGACUACCUGCGCUUGUUGUAAUUAGGCCUAUACAUGAAUCUAUCUUAUUUUGAUCCUCAGAUUGGGGAUUUGUGUUUUAUC
This is a long non-coding RNA of Capsicum annuum, 1361 nucleotides long. RefSeq lists it as uncharacterized. NCBI's taxonomy places the organism in Eukaryota, Viridiplantae, Streptophyta, Magnoliopsida, Solanales, Solanaceae. The transcript is spliced from 2 exons. The record is from RefSeq and is a predicted model, not a curated record.